Molecule: ribosomal RNA, 433 nt
Filed under: uncultured bacterium
Lineage: Bacteria
Description: partial 16S ribosomal RNA
Rfam family: Bacterial small subunit ribosomal RNA
Source: RNAcentral
AGCGAACGCUGGCGGCAGGCCUAACACAUGCAAGUCGAACGGAUCCUUCGGGAUUAGUGGCGGACGGGUGAGUAACACGUGGGAACGUGCCCUUUGGUUCGGAACAACUCAGGGAAACUUGAGCUAAUACCGGAUGUGCCCUUCGGGGGAAAGAUUUAUCGCCAUUGGAGCGGCCCGCGUCUGAUUAGCUAGUUGGUGAGGUAACGGCCCACCAAGGCGACGAUCAGUAGCUGGUUUGAGAGGAUGAUCAGCCACACUGGGACUGAGACACGGACCAGACUCCUACGGGAGGCAGCAGUGGGGAAUCUUGCGCAAUGGGCGAAAGCCUGACGCAGCCAUGCCGCGUGAAUGAUGAAGGUCUUAGGAUUGUAAAAUUCUUUCAGCGGGGACGAUAAUGACGGUACCCGCAGAAGAAGCUCCGGCUAACUUCGUG